UACGUAGGGUGCAGGCGUUAUUCGGAUUCACUGGGCGUAAAGGGUGCGCAGGUGGUUGGGUGUGUCAGAUGUGAAAUCCCGAGGCUCAACCUCGGAACCGCGUCUGAAACUACUCAACUAGAGUAUUGGAGAGGGUAACGGAAUUCACGGUGUAGCAGUGAAAUGCGUAGAUAUCGUGAGGAACACCAGAGGCGAAGGCGGUUACCUGGACAAUUACUGACACUCAGGCACGAAAGCAUGGGGAGCAAAAGGG
Molecule: ribosomal RNA, 253 nt
Filed under: uncultured bacterium
Lineage: Bacteria
Description: partial 16S ribosomal RNA
Rfam family: Bacterial small subunit ribosomal RNA
Source: RNAcentral